UCUUUUAUUUUUUUGUUUUGCUGGAUCAUUCACUUAUUUGCAUCGGUCCCCUACGUAGAGGAUGCGUAGGCCGGAGCUGACUGCUGAGAUAAACUACUGAGGACUUAUACGGAAAUGAUGAUUAAGGCCAUGGUAUAUGGGGUUUCGGGAGUGGUUCCUAUAUUUACGAAGUCUAUGGUGCUAAAAUAAUACUGAUGUUUUGCAAAGUUCUCCCAAGUCACCACAUCCUUACUCAAAACAUGUCUUUAAAACCUGAAAACUUUCGGAAUAACACUAUUUUCUUUUGCAAAAAAAAAUUCGGUGGGGCUAAAGGUAUGGGGAGAUAGGGUUGUACUAAAGAUCUACUAUAUUUGGUGACUCGUCAGACUCAUGCAUUAUACUAAAAAGCAAAAUAAACAACUAAAAGGAAAUAAAAAUAAAUAAACUAUCUAAAAACAGCAAAGAAAAAGUGAUAAAGAAAAGACGAGAAAAACAAUAAAGAAAAGACGAUAGAGUCUCCUCC
Molecule: long non-coding RNA, 502 nt
Filed under: Lathyrus oleraceus (garden pea)
Lineage: Eukaryota; Viridiplantae; Streptophyta; Magnoliopsida; Fabales; Fabaceae
Description: Pisum sativum (pea) long non-coding RNA (PSAT_LNC036733)
Source: RNAcentral